RNAcentral lists this ribosomal RNA (446 nucleotides) under uncultured Gammaproteobacteria bacterium. RNAcentral describes it as "bacterial SSU rRNA". It matches the Rfam family "Bacterial small subunit ribosomal RNA", at positions 9 to 453 of the family's 1533-position model. The record is from RNAcentral. Lineage: Bacteria; Pseudomonadati; Pseudomonadota; Gammaproteobacteria.
GAGUUUGAUCAUGGCUCAGAUUGAACGCUGGCGGCAGGCUUAACACAUGCAAGUCGAGCGGAAACGAAGAUAGCUUGCUAUCAGGCGUCGAGCGGCGGACGGGUGAGUAACGCGUAGGAAUCUACCUAGUAGUGGGGGAUAGCCCAGAGAAAUUUGGAUUAAUACCGCAUACGCCCUACGGGGGAAAGGAGGGGAUCUUCGGACCUUUCGCUAUUAGAUGAGCCUGCGUGAGAUUAGCUUGUUGGUGAGGUAAAGGCUCACCAAGGCGACGAUCUCUAGCUGGUCUGAGAGGAUGAUCAGCCACACUGGGACUGAGACACGGCCCAGACUCCUACGGGAGGCAGCAGUGGGGAAUAUUGCACAAUGGGGGAAACCCUGAUGCAGCCAUGCCGCGUGUGUGAAGAAGGCCUUCGGGUUGUAAAGCACUUUCAGUUGUGAGGAAAGGU